Molecule: non-coding RNA, 76 nt
Organism: Prevotella nigrescens ATCC 33563
Lineage: Bacteria; Pseudomonadati; Bacteroidota; Bacteroidia; Bacteroidales; Prevotellaceae
Source: Rfam
GAGGGUGAACUUAGAGCCCUCAGCACGUUGUGUGUUAAUAGCGCUGCUUUUGGCCAGGCUGCGUGGUUAGUGAAUC